RNAcentral lists this transfer RNA (88 nucleotides) under Pseudoflavonifractor capillosus. Its description in RNAcentral is "tRNA-Ser". It matches the Rfam family "tRNA". From Rfam's summary of the family: Transfer RNA (tRNA) molecules are approximately 80 nucleotides in length. Their secondary structure includes four short double-helical elements and three loops (D, anti-codon, and T loops). Further hydrogen bonds mediate the characteristic L-shaped molecular structure. tRNAs have two regions of fundamental functional importance: the anti-codon, which is responsible for specific mRNA codon recognition, and the 3' end, to which the tRNAs corresponding amino acid is attached (by aminoacyl-tRNA synthetases). tRNAs cope with the degeneracy of the genetic code in two manners: having more than one tRNA (with a specific anti-codon) for a particular amino acid; and 'wobble' base-pairing, i.e. permitting non-standard base-pairing at the 3rd anti-codon position. RNAcentral also lists the same sequence under 11 other names. The record is from RNAcentral. Lineage: Bacteria; Bacillati; Bacillota; Clostridia; Eubacteriales; Oscillospiraceae.
GGAGAGAUGUCCGAGUGGUUUAAGGAGCCGGUCUUGAAAACCGGUGACUCGUCAAGAGCCGUGGGUUCGAAUCCCACUCUCUCCGCCA